This 480-nucleotide ribosomal RNA is filed under the name uncultured bacterium. RNAcentral's name for it is "bacterial SSU rRNA". It matches the Rfam family "Bacterial small subunit ribosomal RNA", at positions 30 to 506 of the family's 1533-position model. The record is from RNAcentral.
UUGAACGCUGGCGGUAUGCUUUACACAUGCAAGUCGAACGGGCUAUGGGGCUUGCUCCAUAGUUAGUGGCGAACGGGUGAGUAAUAUAUCGGAACAUAUCCGGAAGUGGGGGAUAACGUAGCGAAAGUUACGCUAAUACCGCAUACGCCCUGAGGGGGAAAGCAGGGGAUCUUCGGACCUUGUGCGAAUGGAGCGGCCGAUGUCAGAUUAGCUAGUUGGUGGGGUAAAGGCCCACCAAGGCGACGAUCUGUAGCGGGUCUGAGAGGAUGAUCCGCCACACUGGGACUGAGACACGGCCCAGACUCCUACGGGAGGCAGCAGUGGGGAAUUUUGGACAAUGGGCGCAAGCCUGAUCCAGCCAUGCCGCGUGCGGGACGAAGGCCUUCGGGUUGUAAACCGCUUUCAGCCGGAAAGAAAUCGUCAAGGCUAAUAUCCUUGAUGGAUGACGGUACCGGAAGAAGAAGCACCGGCUAACUACGU